RNAcentral lists this ribosomal RNA (198 nucleotides) under uncultured bacterium. RNAcentral's name for it is "partial 16S ribosomal RNA". It matches the Rfam family "Bacterial small subunit ribosomal RNA", at positions 328 to 539 of the family's 1533-position model. The record is from RNAcentral.
ACGCUCGACACCUACUGGAGGCAGCAGUGGGGAAUAUUGCACAAUGGGGGAAACCCUGAUGCAGCGACGCCGCGUGAAGGAAGAAGUAUCUCGGUAUGUAAACUUCUAUCAGCAGGGAAGAAAGUGACGGUACCUGACUAAGAAGCCCCGGCUAACUACGUGCCAGAAGCCGCGGUAAUCUGAGCGGGCUGGCAAGGC